CAUAGGCCUUGUUGUCAUUACUGCCAUUGUUAUUAUUGACACGAUUUGUGUUAGAAUCUUGUUCUUGAAAUAAUUGUUUCAUAUUAUUUACUGAUUUAAGAUGAUUGGCCUUAAUAAUAUUAUUAUUUUCUGUUUUCAAAUUAUUAUUUAUUGGUUUUUUAGUUUCUAUAGGCCAAAAAUACAAAGGAUUUUGUAUAUAAAUAGGAUUUAUUAUAUUAUUAAUACUAUCACUCCAGUUUAUUCUCAAAUUAUAAGAUUUUAUUGCUUGCGUAUACGGAGGAUAUCCACAAUUAUAAUGAUUAUUUGACAUACAUCUUAAACACGGGAUGAGACCAUCAGGGUAUUUCAUACUAUUUAAUUGAUUUAAAUCGUUUGUUUGUCCAUAAUCUUUUAUAAGAUUAAACUGUUGAUUGAUAUUAUGACACAAGUAAUUAUCUUUAAACUUACAACAUAUUGCACAAUAUAUAUUUUUACAUUCAUUUAUCAAGAAAUCAUUUUUUGUACAUUCCAAUGAACCACAGUUAGAACAUUUAUAUGGAUGCUCUUUUCCUAACUCCAUUUUAUAAUAUAAAGAAAAAAAUAAAUUUUCAGAAUUCAUGUUUGGAAACAGUGUUAACCAUUGUUUUAUAUUUCUUGUAAAGUUAUCCGUUAUUUUGACUGAUUUCAAAUUAUGCAGAUACAAAUUAUCUUUGUACGAACUUAUACUACAACUGUUAUUAACACUAUUUUUUUUUUUAAUUAAAUUGUUUGUUUUGUUUGCUUCAACUAUUGUAGCUUCAUUAUUAUUCGUUUCGUCAGGGUCUUUAAUUUUUUCUGAGUUUAUUUUGUUGCUAUUAUUUAUAUCCGUAUUUAUGUUAUUAUUUAUGUCCUCAUUUAUGUCCUUAUUUAUGUCCUCAUUUAUGUCCUUAUUUAUAUCCUCAUUUAUGUCCUUAUUUAUAUCCUCAUUUAUGUUAUUAUUUAUGUCCAUACUUAUGUUAUUAUUUAUAUCCAUACUUAUAUUAUUAUUUAUAUCCAUAUUUAUGUCCUUAUUUAUAUUUUCAUUUAUAUCCUCAUUUAUAUUCUCAUUUAUGUUAUUAUUAUGA
Molecule: long non-coding RNA, 1082 nt
Filed under: Piliocolobus tephrosceles (Ugandan red Colobus)
Lineage: Eukaryota; Metazoa; Chordata; Mammalia; Primates; Cercopithecidae
Description: lncRNA (ENSPTEG00000007441.1)
Source: RNAcentral